RNAcentral lists this ribosomal RNA (496 nucleotides) under uncultured bacterium. RNAcentral describes it as "partial 16S ribosomal RNA". It matches the Rfam family "Bacterial small subunit ribosomal RNA", at positions 28 to 506 of the family's 1533-position model. The record is from RNAcentral.
GAUGAACGCUGGCGGCGUGCCUAAUACAUGCAAGUCGAGCGAACAGACGAGGAGCUUGCUCCUCUGACGUUAGCGGCGGACGGGUGAGUAACACGUGGAUAACCUACCUAUAAGACUGGGAUAACUUCGGGAAACCGGAGCUAAUACCGGAUAAUAUAUUGAACCGCAUGGUUCAAUAGUGAAAGACGGUUUUGCUGUCACUUAUAGAUGGAUCCGCGCCGCAUUAGCUAGUUGGUAAGGUAACGGCUUACCAAGGCGACGAUGCGUAGCCGACCUGAGAGGGUGAUCGGCCACACUGGAAAUGAGAAACGGUCCAGACGCCUACGGGGGGCAGGAGGAGGGAAUCCUCCGCAAUGGGCGAAAGCCUGACGGAGCAACGCGGGGGGGGGGAAGAAGGGCUUCGGAUCGUAAAACUCUUUUAUUAGGGAAAAAAAAAUGUGAAAGUAAAUAUGCACGUCUUGACGGUACCUAAACAAAAAGCCACGGCUAACUACGU